GUUGAAAGCCAUACCACCUGCAACGCGCCCAAUCUCGUCUGGUCUCGAAAGCUAAGCAGGAUCGGGCCUGGUUGGUACUUGGAUAGGGGAUCACCUGGGAACACCGGGUGCCGUAGGCU
Capra hircus (goat) is the source of this 119-nucleotide ribosomal RNA. The record is from Ensembl. Lineage: Eukaryota; Metazoa; Chordata; Mammalia; Artiodactyla; Bovidae.